GGGCCUUUGCUCAGUGGCAGAGCAUCUGCCUUUCAAGCAGAAAUUCCCAGGUUCAAUUCCCAGCAUCUCUG
Non-coding RNA from Podarcis lilfordi (Lilford's wall lizard), 71 nucleotides. Lineage: Eukaryota; Metazoa; Chordata; Lepidosauria; Squamata; Lacertidae. The record is from the annotation of a GenBank genome assembly.